AGUCGAACGGCAGCAUGGACUUCUGUCUGGUGAAGAGUGGCGAACGGUGAGCAAUGUAUCGGAACGUGCCUAGUAGCGGGGGAUAACUACGAAAAGCGUAGCUAAUACCGCACAAUACGCCCUUCUGGGAAAGCGGGGACCUUUCGGGCCUCGCACACGAGCGGCCGAUAUCGGAUUAGCUAGUUGGUGGGCAACGGCUCACCAUACGAUCCGUAAUGGUCUGAGAGGACGACCAGCCACACUGGGACUGAGACACGGCCCAGACUCCUACGGGAGGCAGCAGUGGGGAAUUUUGGACAAUGGGGAAAUCCCUGAUCCAGCUAUCCGGCGUGCGAUGAAGGCCUUCGGGUUGUAAAGCACUUGGCAGAUGAAACGGCACGGGAUAAUACCCCGUAACUGACGGUACCUGCAGAACAAGCACUGGCUAACUACGCUGCAGCCGCGUAAUACGUAGGCAGGGGCGUUAAUCGGAAUUACCGGCGUAAAAGCGUGGCGCAGGCGGUUCGGAAAGAAAGAUGUAACCAGACGCAAAUUUUGGAACUGCAUUUUUAACUACCGAGCUAGAGUGCCGAGGGAGGUGGAAUUCCGCGGAAGUGUUGAAAUGCGUAGAUAUGCGGAGGAACACCGAUGGCGAAGGCAGCUCUCCUGGGAUAACACUGACGCUCAUGCACGAAAGCGUGGGGAGCAAACAGGAUUAGAUACUCCUGGUAGUCCACGUACCCUAAACGAUGUCAACUAAUAUGGGCCUUUUGGCCUGGUAGCGCAGCUAACGCGUGGGAAGUUGACCGCCUGGGGAGUACGGUCGCAAGAUUAAAACCCGUGCGAAUUGACGGGGACCCGCACAAGCGCGGAUGAUGUGGAUUAAUUGAUGCAACGCGAAAACCUUUACCUACCCUUGACAUGUCUGGAAUCCCGAAGAGAUUUGGGAGUGCUCGCAAGAGAACCGGAACACAGGUGCUGCAUGGCUGUCGUCAGCUCGUGUCGUGAGAUGUUGGGUCAAGUCCCGCAACGAGCGCAACCCCGUCAUUAGUUGCUACGAAAGGGCACUCUAAUGAGACUGCCGGUGACAAACCGGAGGAAGGUGGGACACGUCACAAGUCCCCAUGGCCCUUAUGGGUAGGGGCUUCACACGUCAUACAAUGGUCGGGACAGGGUCGCCAACCCGCGAGGGGGAGCCAAUCCCAGAAACCUGAUCGUAGUCUCGAUCGCAGUCUGCAACUCGACUGCGUGAAGUCGGAAUCGCUAGUAAUCGCGGAUCAGCAUGUCGCGGUGAAUACGUUCCCGGGUCUUGUACACACCGCCCGUCACACCAUGGGAGUGGGUUUUACCAGAAGUAGUUAGCCUAACCGUAAGGAGGGCGAUUACCACGGUAGGAUUCAUGGAUCAGGUGAAGUCGUAACAAGGUAAC
Molecule: ribosomal RNA, 1408 nt
Filed under: uncultured Bordetella sp.
Lineage: Bacteria; Pseudomonadati; Pseudomonadota; Betaproteobacteria; Burkholderiales; Alcaligenaceae
Description: partial 16S-23S ribosomal RNA intergenic spacer
Rfam family: Bacterial small subunit ribosomal RNA
Source: RNAcentral